Molecule: long non-coding RNA, 218 nt
Organism: Helianthus annuus (common sunflower)
Lineage: Eukaryota; Viridiplantae; Streptophyta; Magnoliopsida; Asterales; Asteraceae
Exons: 2
Source: RefSeq, a predicted model, not a curated record
GUUACUUUGGAAUUCUCCAUCCUUACUCGUGCGAUAAUUCAAGGAAUUUCCAUACGCAACCAAUGAUUUUGAUGAUGCAAGGAAUCUAGUAGGAUUGCCUAGAAACGCAUUUAAACUUUAAUACUUGUUGUAUCGUAUUUUAUCUUCAAACAUAUUGUAUUUUGAUUCCAAACCUUGUAUUAAACCUUUAUUAAUGAAAAGAAAUUUUAGUUCUUUUA